RNAcentral lists this ribosomal RNA (380 nucleotides) under uncultured eukaryote. RNAcentral's name for it is "partial 18S ribosomal RNA". It matches the Rfam family "Eukaryotic small subunit ribosomal RNA", at positions 592 to 976 of the family's 1831-position model. The record is from RNAcentral.
CAAUAGCGUAUAUUAAAGUUGUUGCAGUUAAAAAGCUCGUAGUUGGAUUUGUGGCGUACGGUGUGUUCCGGGCACUUGUUGUCUGAGUAACCUGCUGUUGCCAUCCUUGGGUGGAACCUGUGUGGCAUUAGGUUGUCGUGCAGGGGAUGCCCAUCAUUUACUGUGAAAAAAUUAGAGAGUUCAAAGCAGGCUUAUGCCGUUGAAUAUAUUAGCAUGGAAUAAUGAGAUAGGACUUUUUUGCUAUUUUGUUGGUUUGCGCAAAGAGGUAAUGAUUAAUAGGGACAGUUGGGGGUAUUCGUAUUCCAUUGUCAGAGGUGAAAUUCUUGGAUUUUUGGAAGACGAACUACUGCGAAAGCAUUUACCAAGGAUGUUUUCAUUAA